ACGGGCCGCUGCCCUUAGACGCCCAACGUUCGUCUGCUGCGGCCUCUGUCGCGCUGUGACCUGUGCCCAGUCGUAGGAAGGAUGCGGGGGACCCAGGAAAGUUCGAAAUGGACAUGGAAAGAGAUUGAUAAUAGACAAAGCAGAGAAGACGCUCACUGGCUCCAUCUAGAGGACCCUGCUGGUACAUGAGGCUAACACAGCUGUCCCGAUAUUUGAACCACCCUGGGAUCCUAGCGAGGCUGCAGGGAGAGUCAGACUAGAACACUACAGCGAUGUAUCUUCACAGGCCUGAGAACCGGGGUCCCUAAGCAAAAGAGCCUAAAUAAAAUCCAAGAAAUUCAGCAACAAUCGAUGAAGACCCCUCUGAGUUCCUGGAGAGGAUUUAUCAAGCUUAUAGGCACUAUACAGAUGCAGAUCUGGAAGACCCCAAAAAUCUUAGAAUGGUUAACAUGACUUUUAUAGGACAAAGUGCUCCAGAGCUCAAAAAAAAGUUGCAAAAACUAGACAGAGCAUUAGGGAUGGAUCCUUCCCAGCUUACAGAUAUUGCCUUUAAGGCGUACAAUAACAGAGAACAUCAGACGAAGCAAGAAGAUGCCAAAAGGAAUGCUGCUUUCCUGGCUGCCGCCUUGAGCUGAUGGAAUUCAAACCAUCUGAAAGGAAAACCAGGCCAGUCAAAGGGAGGAGCCCCGGGUACAAACGACAGUGGGGAACGAGCUGAUUGACUUCUUGAUGCUGGUGCCACCUAUUCUGUUCUGAACACCAAAUUAGCAAAGAAAAUGACAAGAUUGACCCCAGUCAGUGGAGUAUCUGGUGAAAUCCAAGAUUGUUCAUUUCUAGAACCCCUAGAGUGCCAGGUGGGGGAUUUAACCCUGAAACAGUUUUCUGUAUUUGCCAGAAUGCCCCACCCCACUUCUGGGUUGAGACUUCUGUAAACUGAACGCACAAUAACCUUCGCUCCAGGACAACGUGGUGCACAAGCCUCUCCGGAGCAGUCCCUGAGUUUGCAGAUGCUUCGCUGGGACCUCGGAGUCAGAACCAGAACUGUUACCACUGAAAUCUACGAGAAGGUAAGGCCCGAUGUGUGGGCAAACGGGACCCAGGGGAAAGCAAGGAAUGCCCAGCCAGUACGGAUACCCUUAGAGGAAAAGAAGAUAAAGCCCAUCUGAAACAGUAUCUGCUAAAACAGGAGGCUCAAAAGGGCAUACAGCCUUUCAAAAGGUUUUCAGAGGCAGGAUUAAUCAGACCCUGUCAGCUUCCAUAUGACACCCCUAUUCUCCCCGUGAAGAAGCCAAAUUCUAAUGGACGUCGCUUCAUUCAAGAUCUGCGUGCCAUAAAUGAGGUGGUUCAAGAUUUGCACCCUGUGGGGCCCAGUCCUUACACCAUGUUAACAAAUAUACCAGAAGAAUAUGGUUGGUUUU
Molecule: long non-coding RNA, 1418 nt
Organism: Diceros bicornis minor
Lineage: Eukaryota; Metazoa; Chordata; Mammalia; Perissodactyla; Rhinocerotidae
Exons: 3
Source: RefSeq, a predicted model, not a curated record